ACGAUAGAUACCUGGUUGAUUCUGCCAGUAGUCAUAUGCUUGUCUCAAAGAUUAAGCCAUGCAUGUCUAAGUAUAAGCAACUAUACGGUGAAACUGCGAAUGGCUCACAUUAAAUCAGUUAUCGUUUAUUUGAUAGUACCUUACUACUUGGGAUAACCGUGGUAAUUCUAGAGCUAAUACAUGCUGAAAACCCCGACUCGCGAAGGGGUGUAUUUAUUAGAUAAAAAACCAACGCCCUUCGGGGCUCCUUGGUGAUUCAUAAUAACUUAACGAAUCGCAUGGCCUUGCGCCGGCGAUGGUUCAUUCAAAUUUCUGCCCUAUCAACUUUCGAUGGUAGGAUAGUGGCCUACCAUGGUGUCAACGGGUAACGGGGAAUAAGGGUUCUAUUCCGGAGAGGGAGCCUGAGAAACGGCUACCACAUCCAAGGAAGGCAGCAGGCGCGCAAAUUACCCAAUCCCGAUACGGGGAGGUAGUGACAAUAAAUACUGAUUGCGAAUUCUUUCGGAUUUGCAAAUUGGAAUGAGUACAAUUUAAAUCCCUUUAACGAGGAACAAUUGGAGGGCAAGUCUGGUGGCCAGCAGCCGCGGUAAUUCCAGCUCCAAUAGCGUAUAUUAAAGUUGUUGCAGUUAAAAAGCUCGUAGUUGAACUUUGGGCCUGGCUGUCCGGUCCGCCUCACCGCGUGCACUGGUUCGGCCGGGCCUUUCCUUCUGGGGAACCGCAUGCCCUUCACUGGGUGUGUCGGGGAACCAGGACUUUUACUUUGAAAAAAUUAGAGUGUUCAAAGCAGGCCUAUGCUCGAAUACAUUAGCAUGGAAUAAUGAAAUAGGACGUGCGUCUCUAUUUUGUUGGUUUCUAGGGACGCCGUAAUGAUUAAUAGGGACAGUCGGGGGCGUCUGUAUUCAAUUGUCAGAGGUGAAAUUCUUGGAUUUAUUGAGGACAAACUACUGCGAAAGCAUUCGCCAAGGAUGUUUUCAUUAAUCAGUGAACGAAAGUUAGGGGUUCAAAGACGAUCCAGAUACCGUCGUAGUCUUAACCAUAAACUAUGCCGACUAGGGAUCGGACGGUGUUACAUUUUGACCCGUUCGGCACCUUACGAGAAAUCAAAGUUUUUGGGUUCUGGGGGGAGUAUGGUCGCAAGGCUGAAACUUAAAGAAAUUGACGGAAAGGCACCACCAGGCGUGGAGCCUGCGGCUUAAUUUGACUCAACACGGGGAAACUCACCAGGUCCAGACACAAUAAGGAUUGACAGAUUGAGAGCUCUUUCUUGAUUUUGUGGUUGGUGGUGCAUGGCCGUUCUUAGUUGGUGGAGUGAUUUGUCUGCUUAAUUGCGAUAACGAACGAGACCUUAACCUGCUAAAUAGCCAGGCCCGCUUUGGCGGGUCGCCGGCUUCUUAGAGGGACUAUCGGCUCAAGCCGAUGGAAGUUUGAGGCAAUAACAGGUCUGUGAUGCCCUUAGAUGUUCUGGGCCGCACGGCGCGCUACACUGACAGGGCCAACGAGUACACCACCUUGGCCGAAAGGUCUGGGUAAUCUUGUUAAACCCUGUCGUGCUGGGGAUCGAGCAUUGCAAUUAUUGCUCGUCAACGAGGAAUGCCUAGUAAGCGCAAGUCAUCAGCUUGCGUUGAUUACGUCCCUGCCCUUUGUACACACCGCCCGUCGCUACUACCGAUUGAAUGGCUCAGUGAGGCCUUCGGACCGGCUCAGGGAGGUCGGCAACGACCACCCAGAGCCGGAAAGUUCGUCAAACUUGGUCAUUUAGAGGAAGUAAAAGUCGUAACAAGGUGUCCUUCCGUAGGUGAACCUGCGGAAGGAUCAUUA
This 1818-nucleotide ribosomal RNA is filed under the name Pertusaria subpertusa. RNAcentral's name for it is "SSU rRNA". It matches the Rfam family "Eukaryotic small subunit ribosomal RNA". The record is from RNAcentral. Lineage: Eukaryota; Fungi; Ascomycota; Lecanoromycetes; Pertusariales; Pertusariaceae.